GAUGAACGCUGGCGGCGUGCCUAAUACAUGCAAGUCGAGCGAACAGAUGAGGAGCUUGCUCCUCUGACGUUAGCGGCGGACGGGUGAGUAACACGUGGAUAACCUACCUAUAAGACUGGGAUAACUUCGGGAAACCGGAGCUAAUACCGGAUAAUAUAUUGAACCGCAUGGUUCAAUAGUGAAAGACGGUUUUGCUGUCACUUAUAGAUGGAUCCGCGCCGCAUUAGCUAGUUGGUAAGGUAACGGCUUACCAAGGCAACGAUGCGUAGCCGACCUGAGAGGGUGAUCGGCCACACUGGAACUGAGACACGGUCCAGACUCCUACGGGAGGCAGCAGUAGGGAAUCUUCCGCAAUGGGCGAAAGCCUGACGGAGCAACGCCGCGUGAGUGAUGAAGGUCUGCGGAUCGUAAAACUCUGUUAUUAGGGAAGAACAAAUGUGUAAGUAACGAUGCACGUCUGGACGGUACCUAAGCAGAAAGCCACGGCUAACUACGG
RNAcentral lists this ribosomal RNA (496 nucleotides) under uncultured bacterium. Its description in RNAcentral is "partial 16S ribosomal RNA". It matches the Rfam family "Bacterial small subunit ribosomal RNA", at positions 28 to 506 of the family's 1533-position model. The record is from RNAcentral.